This 1341-nucleotide small RNA is filed under the name Pongo abelii (Sumatran orangutan). RNAcentral describes it as "retained intron". The record is from RNAcentral. Lineage: Eukaryota; Metazoa; Chordata; Mammalia; Primates; Hominidae.
UUGGCUGCAGCAGCGCGCUGCCCCCACUGGCCGGCGCGCCGUGAUCGAUCGCAGGCUGCGUCAGGAGCCUCCCGGCGCAUAAAUAGGGGUGGCAGGACGGCGCUGAGCCGCACACAGCCAUCCAUCCUCCCCCUUUCCUGUCUCCCUUGUCCUCUCUCUCCGGGCUCCCACCGCCGCUGCGGGCCGGGGAGCCACCGGCCGCCACCAUGAGUUCCUUCAGCUACGAGCCCUACUACUCGACCUCCUACAAGCGGCGCUACGUGGAGACGCCCCGGGUGCACAUCUCCAGCGUGCGCAGCGGCUACAGCACCGCACGCUCAGCUUACUCCAGCUACUCGGCGCCGGUGUCUUCCUCGCUGUCCGUGCGCCGCAGCUACUCCUCCAGCUCUGGAUCGUUGAUGCCCAGCCUGGAGAACCUCGACCUGAGCCAAGUAGCCGCCAUCAGCAACGACCUCAAGUCCAUCCGCACGCAGGAGAAGGCGCAGCUCCAGGACCUCAAUGACCGCUUCGCCAGCUUCAUCGAGCGCGUGCACGAGCUGGAGCAGCAGAACAAGGUCCUGGAAGCCGAGCUGCUGGUGUUGCGCCAGAAGCACUCCGAGCCAUCCCGCUUCCGGGCGCUGUACGAGCAGGAGAUCCGCGACCUGCGCCUGGCGGCGGAAGAUGCCACCAACGAGAAGCAGGCGCUCCAGGGCGAGCGCGAAGGGCUGGAGGAGACCCUGCGCAACCUGCAGGCGCGCUAUGAAGAGGAGGUGCUGAGCCGCGAGGACGCCGAGGGCCGGCUGAUGGAAGCGCGCAAAGGCGCCGACGAGGCGGCGCUCGCUCGCGCCGAGCUCGAAAAGCGCAUCGACAGCUUGAUGGACGAAAUCUCUUUUCUGAAGAAAGUGCACGAAGAGGAGAUCGCCGAACUGCAGGCGCAGAUCCAGUACGCGCAGAUCUCCGUGGAGAUGGACGUGACCAAGCCCGACCUCUCCGCCGCGCUCAAGGACAUCCGCGCACAGUACGAGAAGCUGGCCGCCAAGAACAUGCAGAACGCCGAGGAGUGGUUCAAGAGCCGCUUCACCGUGCUGACCGAGAGCGCCGCCAAGAACACCGACGCCGUGCGCGCCAGAAACACAGCGGGGCGGGGGACUCGAGCAACGGGGAAGAGUUGGUGCGCCCAGAAAGUGGAGACCAGGGGUGGUGCGGCUGCACGCAGCUCUUAGGGAUAGGGCUUGAUUCCUUGGCCACUGUGUGGGAGGGGUGGGGCACUUGAAGGGCGUGAGUGCGGGCGCGACUGUAGUCUGGGAGUGUGCUCGGUGCUACUGCACCGGCGUUCCGCAUUAAAGCUGCCCAGCCCUUGUU